GGGCUGUAGCUCAGAGGCGGAGCACCUGCUUUGCAUGCAGAAGGUUCCAGGUUCAUUCCCUAACAGCAUCU
RNAcentral lists this transfer RNA (71 nucleotides) under Podarcis lilfordi (Lilford's wall lizard). RNAcentral describes it as "tRNA.Ala". It matches the Rfam family "tRNA". From Rfam's summary of the family: Transfer RNA (tRNA) molecules are approximately 80 nucleotides in length. Their secondary structure includes four short double-helical elements and three loops (D, anti-codon, and T loops). The record is from RNAcentral. Lineage: Eukaryota; Metazoa; Chordata; Lepidosauria; Squamata; Lacertidae.